This 468-nucleotide ribosomal RNA is filed under the name uncultured bacterium. RNAcentral's name for it is "partial 16S ribosomal RNA". It matches the Rfam family "Bacterial small subunit ribosomal RNA", at positions 28 to 507 of the family's 1533-position model. The record is from RNAcentral.
GACGAACGCUGGCGGCGUGCCCAACACAUGCAAGUCGAACGGAAAGGCCCUGCUUUUGUUGCGUGCUCGAGUGGCGAACGGGUGAGUAACACGUGAGUAACAUCCCCUUGACUUUGGGAUAACUUCAGGAAAAUGGGGCUAAUACCGGAUAGGAGCUCCUGCUGCAUGGUGGGGGUUGGAAAGAUUCGGCGGUGUGGGAUGGACUGGCGGCUUAUCGGCUUGUUGGUGGGGUAGUGGCUUACAAAGCCUGUGAGGGGUAGCCCGCCUGAGAGGGUGACCGGCGACAAGGGGACUGCGGGACGGAGCAGUAUCCAAUGGGAGGCAGCAGGGGGGAAUAUUACACAGUGGGCGGAAGCCUGAGGCGGCGACGCCGCGUGCGGGAUGCCGGCCUUCGGGUGGUAAACCGAUUUCGCCGGUGACGAAGCGUGAGUGACGGUAAUGGGUAAAGAAGCACCGGCUAACUACGUG